Molecule: ribosomal RNA, 250 nt
Filed under: uncultured bacterium
Lineage: Bacteria
Description: partial 16S ribosomal RNA
Rfam family: Bacterial small subunit ribosomal RNA
Source: RNAcentral
AGAGGGGGCAAGCGUUGCUCGGAAUUACUGGGCGUAAAGCGCGUGUAGGCGGGCUAGUAAGUCGGACGUGAAAUCCCUGGGCUCAACCCAGGAACUGCAUCCGAAACUAUUAGCCUUGAGUGGUGGAGAGGGAAGCAGAAUUCCUGGUGUAGAGGUGAAAUUCGUAGAUAUCAGGAGGAACACCGGUGGCGAAGGCGGCUUCCUGGACACUAACUGACGCUGAGACGCGAAAGCGUGGGGAGCAAACAGG